AUUGAACGCUGGCGGAAUGCUUUACACAUGCAAGUCGAGCGGCAGCGCGGGGGCAACCCUGGCGGCGAGCGGCGAACGGGUGAGUAACAUAUCGGAACGUACCCCGUCGUGGGGGAUAACACAGCGAAAGCUGUAGCUAAUACCGCAUACGACCUGAGGGUGAAAGCGGGGGAUCGCAAGACCUCGCGCGAUGGGAGCGGCCGAUAUCGGAUUAGCUUGUUGGUGAGGUAAAGGCUCACCAAGGCGACGAUCCGUAAGCUGGUCUGAGAGGACGACCAGCCACACUGGAACUGAGACACGGUCCAGACUCCUACGGGAGGCAGCAGUGGGGAAUUUUUGGACAAAUGGGGGCAACCCUGAUCCAGCCAUUCCGCGUGAGUGAAGAAGGCCUCGGUGU
This 397-nucleotide ribosomal RNA is filed under the name uncultured bacterium. RNAcentral's name for it is "bacterial SSU rRNA". It matches the Rfam family "Bacterial small subunit ribosomal RNA", at positions 29 to 423 of the family's 1533-position model. The record is from RNAcentral.